This 253-nucleotide ribosomal RNA is filed under the name uncultured bacterium. RNAcentral describes it as "partial 16S ribosomal RNA". It matches the Rfam family "Bacterial small subunit ribosomal RNA", at positions 524 to 776 of the family's 1533-position model. The record is from RNAcentral.
UACGAAGGGGGCUAGCGUUGCUCGGAAUCACUGGGCGUAAAGCGCACGUAGGCGGCUUUUUAAGUCAGGGGUGAAAUCCUGGAGCUCAACUCCAGAACUGCCUUUGAUACUGGGAAGCUUGAGUCCGGGAGAGGUGAGUGGAACUCCGAGUGUAGAGGUGAAAUUCGUAGAUAUUCGCAAGAACACCAGUGGCGAAGGCGGCUCACUGGUCCGGUUCUGACGCUGAGGCGCGAAAGCGUGGGGAGCGAACAGG